RNAcentral lists this ribosomal RNA (483 nucleotides) under Photobacterium swingsii. RNAcentral's name for it is "bacterial LSU rRNA". It matches the Rfam family "Bacterial large subunit ribosomal RNA", at positions 1 to 527 of the family's 2925-position model. The record is from RNAcentral. Lineage: Bacteria; Pseudomonadati; Pseudomonadota; Gammaproteobacteria; Vibrionales; Vibrionaceae.
GUUGUAUGGUUAAGUGACUAAGCGUACACGGUGGAUGCCUUGGCAGUCAGAGGCGAUGAAGGACGUAUUAACUUGCGAUAAGCCCAGUUUAGAUAGUAAAAAUCACUUGAGACUGGGAUUUCCGAAUGGGGAAACCCAACUGCAUAAGCAGUUAUCGUUACGUGAAUACAUAGCGUAACGAGGCGAACCGGGGGAACUGAAACAUCUAAGUACCCCGAGGAAGAGAAAUCAACCGAGAUUCCGACAGUAGCGGCGAGCGAAAUCGGAUUAGCCCUUAAGCUAGUCUUGCGUUAGGUGAACAAGCUGGAAAGCUUGGCGAUACAGGGUGAUAGCCCCGUAACCGACAACGCAUUACAAGUGAAAACGAGUAGGACGGGACACGUGAUAUCCUGUUUGAACAUGGGGGGACCAUCCUCCAAGGCUAAAUACUCCUGACUGACCGAUAGUGAACCAGUACCGUGAGGGAAAGGCGAAAAGAACCCC